UAAGCGGAGGAAAAGAAACUAACAACGAUUCCCCUAGUAGGCGCCGAAGCGGGAAGCGGGAAGAAGCUUAAAUUUAUAAUCUGGCACCUUCGGUGUCCGAGUUGUAAUCUCUAGAAAUGUUUUUCCCGUUGGACGCACCCAAGUCUGUUGGAAAACAGCGGCAUAGUGGUGAGACCCCCGUAUAUGGUCCGGACGCCCAGCGCCUUUGUGAUACAUUUUCGAAGAGUCGAGUUGUUUGGGAAUGCAGCUCAAAUUGGGUGGUAAAUUCCAUCUAAAGCUAAAUAUUGGCGAGAGACCGAUAGCGAACAAGUACCGUGAGGGAAAGAUGAAAAGCACUUUGGAAAGAGAGUUAACAGUACGUGAAAUUGUUGGAAGGGAAACGCUUGAAGUCAGACUUGCUUGCCGAGCAAUCGGUUUGCAGGCCAGCAUCAGUUUUCCGGGAUGGAUAAUGGUAGAGAGAAGGUAGCAGUUUCGGCUGUGUUAUAGCUCUCUGCUGGAUACAUCUUGGGGGACUGAGGAACGCAGUGUGCCUUUGGCGGGGGUUUCGACCUCUUCACACUUAGGAUGCUGGUGGAAUGGCUAGAAACGUCCA
Molecule: ribosomal RNA, 592 nt
Filed under: Rhodotorula mucilaginosa
Lineage: Eukaryota; Fungi; Basidiomycota; Microbotryomycetes; Sporidiobolales; Sporidiobolaceae
Description: eukaryotic LSU rRNA
Rfam family: Eukaryotic large subunit ribosomal RNA
Source: RNAcentral